Molecule: ribosomal RNA, 501 nt
Filed under: uncultured bacterium
Lineage: Bacteria
Description: partial 16S ribosomal RNA
Rfam family: Bacterial small subunit ribosomal RNA
Source: RNAcentral
GACGAACGCUGGCGGCGUGCCUAAUACAUGCAAGUCGAGCGGACCGGAUUGGGGCUUGCCUUGAUUCGGUCAGCGGCGGACGGGUGAGUAACACGUGGGCAACCUGCCCGCAAGACCGGGAUAACUCCGGGAAACCGGAGCUAAUACCGGAUAACACCGAAGACCGCAUGGUCUUCGGUUGAAAGGCGGCCUUUGGGCUGUCACUUGCGGAUGGGCCCGCGGCGCAUUAGCUAGUUGGUGAGGUAACGGCUCACCAAGGCGACGAUGCGUAGCCGGCCUGAGAGGGUGACCGGCCACACUGGGACUGAGACACGGCCCAGACUCCUACGGGAGGCAGCAGUAGGGAAUCUUCCGCAAUGGGCGAAAGCCUGGAGGGGCGACGCCGCGUGAGCGAAGAAGGCCUUCGGGUCGGAAAGCUCUGUUGUGAGGGAAGAAGGAGCGUCGUUCGAAGAGGGCGGCGCGGUGACGGUACCUCACGAGAAAGCCCCGGCUAACUACGUG